GAGCACGUAGGUGGGUUUGUAAGUCAGAUGUGAAAGCCUUCUGUUCAACGGAAGAAUUGCAUCUGAAACUACAAACCUUGAGUAUAGGAGGGGAGAAUGGAACUUCUGGUGGAGCGGUGAAAUGCGUAGAUAUCAGAAGGAACUCCGGCGGCGAAAGCGAUUCUCUGGCCUAUUACUGACACUCAGUGUGCGAAAGCUAGGGGAGCAAACGGGAUUAGAUACCCCGGUAGUCCUAGCCGUAAACGAUGGGCACUAAGUAGAGGGGUUUU
This 269-nucleotide ribosomal RNA is filed under the name uncultured Planctomycetales bacterium. RNAcentral describes it as "partial 16S ribosomal RNA". It matches the Rfam family "Bacterial small subunit ribosomal RNA", at positions 565 to 832 of the family's 1533-position model. Lineage: Bacteria; Pseudomonadati; Planctomycetota; Planctomycetia; Planctomycetales. The record is from RNAcentral.